UAACAUGAGAGUUUGAUCCUGGCUCAGGAUGAACGCUGGCGGCGUGCUUAACACAUGCAAGUCGAACGGGGUUAUUAUGAAGGUUUACCGGAUUAAUAACCU
Molecule: ribosomal RNA, 102 nt
Filed under: Candidatus Epulonipiscium sp.
Lineage: Bacteria; Bacillati; Bacillota; Clostridia; Lachnospirales; Lachnospiraceae
Description: partial 16S ribosomal RNA
Rfam family: Bacterial small subunit ribosomal RNA
Source: RNAcentral